AGGCAUUCACAAGGUGUAAUCAUUAUGAGUUAUUUACUCAUGAUAUUAAAGGCAUUCACAAGGUGUAAUCAUUAUGAGUUAUUUACUCAUGAUAUUAAAGGCAUUCACAAGGUGUAAUCAUUAUGAGUUAUUUACUCAUGAUAUUAAAGGCAUUCACAAGGUGUAAUCAUUAUGAGUUAUUUACUCAUGAUAUUAAAGGCAUUCGCAAGGUGUAAUCAUUAUGAGUUAUUUACUCAUGAUAUUAAAGGCAUUCACAAGGUGUAAUCAUUAUGAGUUAUUUACUCAUGAUAUUAAAGGCAUUCGCAAGGUGUAAUCAUUAUGAGUUAUUUACUCAUGAUAUUAAAGGCAUUCACAAGGUGUAAUCAUUAUGAGUUAUUUACUCAUGAUAUUAAAGGCAUUCACAAGGUGUAAUCAUUAUGAGUUAUUUACUCAUGAUAUUAAAGGCAUUCACAAGGUGUAAUCAUUAUGAGUUAUUUACUCAUGAUAUUAAAGGCAUUCACAAGGUGUAAUCAUUAUGAGUUAUUUACUCAUGAUAUUAAAGGCAUUCGCAAGGUGUAAUCAUUAUGAGAUAUUUACUCAUGAUAUUAAAGGCAUUCGCAAGGUGUAAUCAUUAUGAGUUAUUUACUCAUGAUAUUAAAGGCAUUCACAAGGUGUAAUCAUUAUGAGUUAUUUACUCAUGAUAUUAAAGGCAUUCGCAAGGUGUAAUCAUUAUGAGUUAUUUACUCAUGAUAUUAAAGGCAUUCGCAAGGUGUAAUCAUUAUGAGUUAUUUACUCAUGAUAUUAAAGGCAUUCGCAAGGUGUAAUCAUUAUGAGUUAUUUACUCAUGAUAUUAAAGGCAUUCACAAGGUGUAAUCAUUAUGAGUUAUUUACUCAUGAUAUUAAAGGCAUUCGCAAGGUGUAAUCAUUAUGAGUUAUUUACUCAUGAUAUUAAAGGCAUUCACAAGGUGUAAUCAUUAUGAGUUAUUUACUCAUGAUAUUAAAGGCAUUCGCAAGGUGUAAUCAUUAUGAGUUAUUUACUCAUGAUAUUAAAGGCA
This is a long non-coding RNA of Oncorhynchus keta (chum salmon), 1034 nucleotides long. RefSeq lists it as uncharacterized. The record is from RefSeq and is a predicted model, not a curated record. NCBI's taxonomy places the organism in Eukaryota, Metazoa, Chordata, Actinopteri, Salmoniformes, Salmonidae. The transcript is spliced from 3 exons.